Molecule: ribosomal RNA, 118 nt
Filed under: Canis lupus familiaris (dog)
Lineage: Eukaryota; Metazoa; Chordata; Mammalia; Carnivora; Canidae
Also listed under: 1 other name
Source: RNAcentral
GUCUCCAGCCAUACCACCCUGAACGUGCCCGGUCUCGUCUGAUCUCGGAAGCUAAGCAGGGUCGAGCCUGGUUAGUACUUGGAUGGGAGAUUUAUAGCAGUUCCAGUUACUUAGUACA